This 30-nucleotide non-coding RNA is filed under the name Mus musculus (house mouse). The record is from RNAcentral. Lineage: Eukaryota; Metazoa; Chordata; Mammalia; Rodentia; Muridae.
UGUUCCCAGAGCCUCUGUACUUGACCCUUC